RNAcentral lists this small RNA (444 nucleotides) under Pongo abelii (Sumatran orangutan). RNAcentral's name for it is "processed transcript". The record is from RNAcentral. Lineage: Eukaryota; Metazoa; Chordata; Mammalia; Primates; Hominidae.
GAGAGUGCAGGCGCUGAGGACAGCGACGAUCCCGAGACGAGACCCAACGGCGAGAAAGGAGAGAGCAAGAAAUGCCACGGACUACAAGGUGAUGAAUACCACUAUGAGCUCACUACAAGAUCUCAAAAGAUUUCAAGCACUGGCUGUUCCAAAGCAUAAAGCCACCCUUCUGGAGCAGCGGCAGGAGGCAGGCUGGGACGAGGCCCCGAGUUUUGGCCAGAUGGACCGCCUCCUUAGGUGUCCGGGCAGCUGCUGAAACAUAGUGAGGAAGAUGCUGCUGAUCCAAAGGAUAAAAACACAGAAACUAAAACCAAGAAGCACCUAAAGUGGACUCACACCCAGCAUCCUGCAGACUGACUUUCUCUGAGCUAUAGUUCUGCAUUGGACUGUUUUUCCUUUGCUAUCACCUGCCCAACACACAAUCCUGGAUGCUUUUGACUGGUU